This 1522-nucleotide ribosomal RNA is filed under the name metagenome. RNAcentral's name for it is "bacterial SSU rRNA". It matches the Rfam family "Bacterial small subunit ribosomal RNA". The record is from RNAcentral.
AGAGCUUGAUCAUGGCUCAGAUUGAACGCUGGCGGCAGGCCUAACACAUGCAAGUCGAACGGUAACAGGAAACAGCUUGCUGUUUCGCUGACGAGUGGCGGACGGGUGAGUAAUGUCUGGGAAACUGCCUGAUGGAGGGGGAUAACUACUGGAAACGGUAGCUAAUACCGCAUAACGUCGCAAGACCAAAGAGGGGGACCUUCGGGCCUCUUGCCAUCAGAUGUGCCCAGAUGGGAUUAGCUAGUAGGUGGGGUAACGGCUCACCUAGGCGACGAUCCCUAGCUGGUCUGAGAGGAUGACCAGCCACACUGGAACUGAGACACGGUCCAGACUCCUACGGGAGGCAGCAGUGGGGAAUAUUGCACAAUGGGCGCAAGCCUGAUGCAGCCAUGCCGCGUGUAUGAAGAAGGCCUUCGGGUUGUAAAGUACUUUCAGCGGGGAGGAAGGGAGUAAAGUUAAUACCUUUGCUCAUUGACGUUACCCGCAGAAGAAGCACCGGCUAACUCCGUGCCAGCAGCCGCGGUAAUACGGAGGGUGCAAGCGUUAAUCGGAAUUACUGGGCGUAAAGCGCACGCAGGCGUUUUGUUAAGUCAGACGUGAAAUCCCCGGGCUCAACCUGGGAACUGCAUCUGAUACUGGCAAGCUUGAGUCUCGUAGAGGGGGGUAGAAUUCCAGGUGUAGCGGUGAAAUGCGUAGAGAUCUGGAGGAAUACCGGUGGCGAAGGCGGCCCCCUGGACGAAGACUGACGCUCAGGUGCGAAAGCGUGGGGAGCAAACAGGAUUAGAUACCCUGGUAGUCCACGCCGUAAACGGUGUCGACUUGGAGGUUGUGCCCUUGAGGCGUGGCUUCCGGAGCUAACGCGUUAAGCCGACCGCCUGGGGAGUACGGCCGCAAGGUUAAAACUCAAAUGAAUUGACGGGGGCCCGCACAAGCGGUGGAGCAUGUGGUUUAAUUCGAUGCAACGCGAAGAACCUUACCUGGUCUUGACAUCCACGGAAGUUUUCAGAGAUGAGAAUGUGCCUUCGGGAACCGUGAGACAGGUGCUGCAUGGCUGUCGUCAGCUCGUGUUGUGAAAUGUUGGGUUAAGUCCCGCAACGAGCGCAACCCUUAUCCUUUGUUGCCAGCGGUCCGGCCGGGAACUCAAAGGAGACUGCCAGUGAUAAACUGGAGGAAGGUGGGGAUGACGUCAAGUCAUCAUGGCCCUUACGACCAGGGCUACACACGUGCUACAAUGGCGCAUACAAAGAGAAGCGACCUCGCGAGAGCAAGCGGACCUCAUAAAGUGCGUCGUAGUCCGGAUUGGAGUCUGCAACUCGACUCCAUGAAGUCGGAAUCGCUAGUAAUCGUGGAUCAGAAUGCCACGGUGAGUACGUUCCCGGGCCUUGUACACACCGCCCGUCACACCAUGGGAGUGGGUUGCAAAAGAAGUAGGUAGCUUAACCUUCGGGAGGGCGCUUACCACUUUGUGAUUCAUGACUGGGGUGAAGUCGGAACAAGGUAACCGUAGGGGAACCUGCGGUUG